UCUAUAACACUAAUCAACAGUUGUUCAUAAUCACGGGAAUCAACCGUUCAUCUUUGCACUACAUGCCAACAAUAUUCAUUUGUAACACAAAUGGUCAUGGUCAUGCCAAUCAAUAGUCCAUCUUUGCACUACGGGCCAAAGAGAACAUUCACCACAAGCGUUUGUCUGUAACACCAAAGAUUAUGAUUAUACCAAUUCACAGUUCAUGGUCAUAAUCAUUCCAAUCAAUGGUUACUUUUUGCACUCCGACCAAAGAGAACUUUUCACCACAAUUUAAAUCAGAGGAUUAUGACAAUGAUAUAAAGGUUGAAUAGAAAUAAUAAGAACAAUAAGAUCAAGAAUAAACAUUAUAAAUCAAUAAUUUAAUUUUUCCAGAGUCCAAGAAAGUCCAAAUUAUUAACA
Molecule: long non-coding RNA, 402 nt
Filed under: Panax ginseng (ginseng)
Lineage: Eukaryota; Viridiplantae; Streptophyta; Magnoliopsida; Apiales; Araliaceae
Description: long non-coding RNA (PGIN_LNC013484)
Source: RNAcentral